This 525-nucleotide ribosomal RNA is filed under the name uncultured bacterium. Its description in RNAcentral is "bacterial SSU rRNA". It matches the Rfam family "Bacterial small subunit ribosomal RNA", at positions 28 to 545 of the family's 1533-position model. The record is from RNAcentral.
AUUGAACGCUGGCGGCAUGCCUUACACAUGCAAGUCGAACGGUAACGCGGGGGCAACCCUGGCGACGAGUGGCGAACGGGUGAGCAACACAUCGGAACGUGUCCUUUCAGUGGGGGAUAGCUCGGCGAAAGCCGGAUUAAUACCGCAUACGCACUGAGGUGGAAAGCGGGGGACCUUCGGGCCUCGCGCUGUUGGAGCGGCCGAUGUCGGAUUAGCUGGUUGGUGGGGUAAGAGCCCACCAAGGCGACGAUCCGUAGCGGGUCUGAGAGGACGGCCCGCCACACUGGAACUGAGACACGGUCCAGACUCCUACGGGAGGCAGCAGUGGGGAAUUUUGGACAAUGGGGGCAACCCUGAUCCAGCCAUGCCGCGUGAGUGAAGAAGGCCUACGGGUUGUAAAGCUCUUUCGGCCGGAACGAAAUGGGCGGGGUGAACAAUCCCGUUCGAUGACGGUACCGGAAGAAGAAGCACCGGCUAACUACGUGCCAGCAGCCGCGGUAAUACGUAGGGUGCGAGCGUUAAUAC